GCCGCGGUAAUACGUAGGGGGCGAGCGUUGUCCGGAUUUAUUGGGCGUAAAGCGCACGUAGGCGGCUCGUUAAGUCAGGGGUGAAAUCCUGGAGCUCAACUCCAGAACUGCCCUUGAUACUGGUGAGCUCGAGUCCGGGAGAGGUGAGUGGAACUGCGAGUGUAGAGGUGAAAUUCGUAGAUAUUCGCAAGAACACCAGUGGCGAAGGCGGCUCACUGGCCCGGUACUGACGCUGAGGUGCGAAAGCGUGGGGAGCAAACAG
This 262-nucleotide ribosomal RNA is filed under the name uncultured bacterium. RNAcentral's name for it is "partial 16S ribosomal RNA". It matches the Rfam family "Bacterial small subunit ribosomal RNA", at positions 514 to 775 of the family's 1533-position model. The record is from RNAcentral.